ACGAACGCUGGCGGCGUGCUUAACACAUGCAAGUCGAACGGAAAGGCCCUGCUUUUGUGGGGUGCUCGAGUGGCGAACGGGUGAGUAACACGUGAGUAACCUGCCCUUGACUUUGGGAUAACUUCAGGAAACGGGGGCUAAUACCGGAUAGGAGCUCCUGCUGCAUGGUGGGGGUUGGAAAGUUUCGGCGGUUGGGGAUGGACUCGCGGCUUAUCAGCUUGUUGGUGGGGUAGUGGCUUACCAAGGCUUUGACGGGUAGCCGGCCUGAGAGGGUGACCGGCCACAUUGGGACUGAGAUACGGCCCAGACUCCUACGGGAGGCAGCAGUGGGGAAUAUUGCACAAUGGGCGGAAGCCUGAUGCAGCAACGCCGCGUGCGGGAUGACGGCCUUCGGGUUGUAAACCGCUUUCGCCUGUGACGAAGCGUGAGUGACGGUAAUGGGUAAAGAAGCACCGGCUAACUACGUG
Molecule: ribosomal RNA, 467 nt
Filed under: uncultured bacterium
Lineage: Bacteria
Description: partial 16S ribosomal RNA
Rfam family: Bacterial small subunit ribosomal RNA
Source: RNAcentral